RNAcentral lists this ribosomal RNA (207 nucleotides) under uncultured bacterium. Its description in RNAcentral is "partial 16S ribosomal RNA". It matches the Rfam family "Bacterial small subunit ribosomal RNA", at positions 568 to 774 of the family's 1533-position model. The record is from RNAcentral.
CACGUAGGCGGUUUGGUAAGUCUGAUGUGAAAUCCCACGACUCAAUCGUGGAAGUGCAUUGGAUACUGCCAGACUAGAGUAUAGGAGGGGAGAACGGAAUUCCUGGUGUAGAGGUGAAAUUCGUAGAUAUCAGGAGGAACAACGGUGGCGAAGGCGGUUCUCUGGACUAUAACUGACGCUGAGGUGCGAAAGCGUGGGGAGCGAACA